RNAcentral lists this long non-coding RNA (855 nucleotides) under Olea europaea subsp. europaea. The record is from RNAcentral. Lineage: Eukaryota; Viridiplantae; Streptophyta; Magnoliopsida; Lamiales; Oleaceae.
UUUUGACAUACCUGACACCACAGCGAGUAGAAGAUGACGAUUCCUCUGCAUUCUCCAAACUGUUAUCCGGCAACCAACAUCUUCAAACUUCCAAAUUUUCAAUCCCCUAUAAAAUUUCUGCAAAAUUAAAGAACCCUUUACCCAAAUCAAAUAUUUCUUCUCUUCAAAGUUCUUUUACUCCACAGCAGCUUUUGAACUGGACAACUGGUAAGUAUUUUCGGUUUCGAAAUUCAAAUUUUAGUAACUUUAGUUUCUUAGAUUUUAUUACUUGGACUAUCUUUUAUAUAUAUUUGUCAUUGAUAAUUUAGUAUUGAUUAUUGAGUACGAGUUUUUGAAAAAUCCAAGGUUUUUGUUUUUGUUUUUGUUUGUAGUUUGUUGAAAUGACCAGAUGAUUUUAUUUAUUUAUUUAUUUUUAGCACUUGGGCAUUUUUUAAAUUUUCUGAUUUGAGAAUUCAAUUGAUAUUAAUUUUGACAAUAGCUUUUCACCUUAGUUAAUUAGAUUGUGAAGUAAAGGUUCAUUCUAAAUUGCAAUGCAGAAUUCCUCUUCAUCAACAUGUUUGAUUGAAUUAUUUUUGAAUUUCUAACAUGCAGUAAAUUUUUCACGGCACAAAUGCAGACUUGCGGACAUGUAGGAAAGGGAAACUGCAAAAGCUUAAAUAUACUACCUAGUAAGUAAAUGUCGUCAUCUCCCUACUUGUGGCCUUGCCGGCAAAAUAUUGAAAUUGUCGCCUACUUGUUAAAAUGUUGCCAGUCCCCUUAAUAACUUUUGUUGAUAUGUUGCCUUAUCGGUUUAAUGAUUGUUAUUAUUGCCUUGUCGGUGAAUUGGUCUAAUGGAUUAUUUUUGUUGCCUUGUCG